Molecule: transfer RNA, 88 nt
Filed under: Streptomyces mutabilis
Lineage: Bacteria; Bacillati; Actinomycetota; Actinomycetes; Kitasatosporales; Streptomycetaceae
Source: RNAcentral
UCCGCGGCCACCUCGAUGUCCGGCUGCGCGUCCAGCAGCGCCCGGAAGCCGGCCCGUACCAGUGACUGGUCGUCGGCGAGCAGUACGC